This 265-nucleotide long non-coding RNA is filed under the name Brassica napus (rape). RNAcentral's name for it is "long non-coding RNA (BNAP_LNC015858)". The record is from RNAcentral. Lineage: Eukaryota; Viridiplantae; Streptophyta; Magnoliopsida; Brassicales; Brassicaceae.
AAGUUGUCCACGUGUACAACUAUGUCAACUGUACAUCAUGGAGCUACGAGCUGUCCACGUGUACAACUAUGCUAAGCUACAAGCUACAAUUCGUAUACACAAAAAAAAUAAUACACAUAUGUUCUAGCCAAAUCAAAACAUCAUCCUCGAACAAUCUGACCGUAGUGAAUCAUAUAUACACCAGACCUUCUUCUACGAUAGCGCAUUCACUCACCUCCAUCCUUCUUCUUUUUGGACAUACCUAUACACCCCGGUACACAACCAC